CCCAAAUCCUGUUCGAAUAUUUAAUUUGACAAAAAUCGUAAGAUUGAGUUAGAUUCGAUCGAUUCGAUUAAGGAGAUUUGCCCUGUCAUAACCCUAACCCACAAAUCAAGAAAAUCAGUUACCCAAAUCCUUAAAUCACCGCCAUUGUUAACCGCUUGAAGAGCGACCCAAGCGUGAAGAAGCAGCACCCAUUGCAUUUCAGACUCCGAGCAAGGCCUCAUCGUGGUAAAAUGGAUGGACUGUUUGAAGAGAAGAAGAAGAAGAUGACGAUGAGAUGACAUAGAAAGUGCGGAUGAUGAGAGGGAAAAUGACAGAGCUGUAUUGCUUGCCGAGGAUGAAGAAAGAGAGGCAGCUGAAAUUGGGUACAAAGCUAUCAGCCCGCAUCAAAAGUCCGGCCGGGUCUUCAAACCAUACGAACCGGCUCUUGCUGUGGUUCAGAUUGGGUCGCAUCAGUUUAAGGUGAGCAAUGGGGAUUGCGUAUACGCAGAGACAUUGAAGUACUGCGACAUCAAUGGUAAGGUUAUUAAAAUGACUAUUAGUUUGCAUUAAUUCUCUUUUAUCGGUCCUAUCAUUUAUCAAAAGUGCGGAAAAAAUUAUUUCUUAUUGCUUAUAAGAUUCCUAGUCAUUUUCAUUACUUUAUAUAAUAAAGUGUUGAAUCUUGAGAUAUUCAUUUAAUCUCAUCACAGAUUCACAGGGUAGCUGAAUAUGAAAUUGUAGUUUGCUUAUUUGUAGUUAUGAAAUGGAAAGAUUUGAUUGCUUGAACUUUUCUGGGAAUACUUUGCAAAUAUCUUGGACUUAACAUUACUAAUUCUUUGUUCCAAGCAAAACCAUGUGCAAUUUAUAAUUAACCCAAAGUUUCAUAUUUUCCUACAGCAUCAUGCUGUUAGUUAUUAAAAGUUAAAAUUCUGAUAAUGCUUUAUGAUUGAAGGUAUAGGUAGUAGGUCAUAAAUUUGACAUUUGAAGGUAUAGGUAGUAGGUCAUAAAUUUGACAUAAGGCUUUUUGAACCACAUCACCAUAUAUUUUGUUUGGGGCAAGCUAGAUACCUCAUUAUCUCUCUCAAUGAUGUUCUUUUAGAAAUCAACUUCAUGUAUUCGUAUAUGUUUUUGUGUUCAUGUAUCUACGUGUUGAUGUUAGCUAUGCAGCUGUUCAUGCUGUUGUUGAGGAGCAUGUAAGAUAUUUCUAGAUAGAAUACUUAAUUCAUCUGCAGCUUGUCGGAGAUCUGACUAUUCUUCAUAUAUACAUACAUAUCUGAAAAUGGAACUGAAAUCUAUUGCUCUCAUCUCCUGGCUCCUCCCAAAGACAUAAAACCAGGUACAAAAAAUUUGAGUCUGUCAAGCUUUAUCAAUUAUUUUAUCAUCCUCUGUUCUCCUUUACUAUGAAAACUUAUAUCCCUAAGUAUUUAUUCUGAGGAAAAUGAUUGUGGAAUUAGGUGAGCUUUGCAGAGAACUAUGGCAAUUAUAAGCUUUGUGAAUCUUUUCAUUUUAUUUUCUUUUAUGAUAUUGGUUUGUUAAAAAAUUUUAGUUGGAGAGAAAAAUAUUAUUAUUAUUAUUAUUAUUAUUAUUAUUAUUAUUAUUAUUAUUAUUAUUAUUAUUAUUAUUAUUAUACCUGAGUGAUAAUGAACUUAAAGUUGUACAAAUAAAUUUGUGAUCCUAAGGACUGGAUUAAGGUCUCUACGAGGCAAUGAUAGUAUAUAUGAUUAUGAAAUUUCACUAUGCUUCAACUAUUGAUUGGAAUUAAAUGCUUAUUGAUUACAGUUUUACGGUUUAUCCCCCUUCCCGUGCCUUGUCACAGCCCACAAGGAAGUAUCUUUAAUCCUUGUGCAGAAGACAUGGAUGAGGAGCUACUUGCUUCUUUGAUAGGGGAAUUGACUUGCUGUCAGGACAUCUUGCUUUCUUUCUGAUUUGCUAUAUUUACCCAUAGUCAUUUAUCUCUUGUGGGAGACAUAAACAGUUUGGCCUUUGAUUGAUUUCAUUAGCUAAUGAUGGGUGCUAUCCUGAUUUUCUAUCUAUGAUUUUUGUUGCGAUACCUUGUGACAAGAUUUUCCAAUUGAAACUAUUUUAAACCAAAAGUGCAUAUGGGCAAAUUAGGAUUAAGGAGCUUCCCCUCCCCUGUGGCUGAAGCUUUGCUUGUAAGUUGUAACAGGAUUUUCUCUUCCAUCUGAUAAUCUCACCAUCAUGAGUUUUAUUAUCCAACGUUUCUUUUCUCUUGCAGGCAUUAAAUGCAAAAGUGAUCAUAUUCAAGAAAAAGAGAAGUAAGAAUUAUAGAAGAACAAAAGGGCAUAGACAGGAGUUGACCAAAUUGAGGAUGACAGAUAUUAGGGAUAUCUUCGAAGACACAGAAGAAACACAAGCUGCCAUCUUUGAAGACAGAGAAGAAUGAAAAGUCAGUAAAGAUAACGAUCAUGGCUUAAUCAUGACUUGUGCUCACAGCGUUGGAUCUUUUUGAUGUACAUUUUUUUUCUUUAACAGCUCCACUGCUGCCCACGCCCCCAAGGGGUAGGGUAUGAGGCAGGCUGUAUUCUCGUUUUAUUUUCUUCUCCAUUUUCCCAGAACUGAUAUCUGAUAGUUAUUUGAAACUUGUUGUAAAUGCUGCCUGAGACAUCGUUGCAUCUUCGUCCGUUCUCUCACCAUAUAAGCCGGAUGUUAUGUGAGCAAACGCCCCAGGGAAACAGCAUUGUUGUGAAGCUUCAAGCUCUGUAUUAGUGGUGGAAAUGAUGUGAAUUUUUUUAAGCAGAUUUUUCCUUCAUAUCA
Molecule: long non-coding RNA, 2751 nt
Organism: Olea europaea var. sylvestris
Lineage: Eukaryota; Viridiplantae; Streptophyta; Magnoliopsida; Lamiales; Oleaceae
Exons: 4
Source: RefSeq, a predicted model, not a curated record